This 613-nucleotide ribosomal RNA is filed under the name uncultured fungus. RNAcentral describes it as "LSU rRNA". It matches the Rfam family "Eukaryotic large subunit ribosomal RNA", at positions 38 to 667 of the family's 3401-position model. Lineage: Eukaryota; Fungi. The record is from RNAcentral.
GCAUAUCAAUAAGCGGAGGAAAAGAACCAACCGGGAUUGCCUCAGUAACGGCGAGUGAAGCGGCAAGAGCUCAAAUUUGAAAGCUGGCUCCUUCGGGGUCCGCAUUGUAAUUUGCAGAGGAUGCUUCGGGUGCGGCCCCUGUCUAAGUGCCCUGGAACGGGCCGUCAGAGAGGGUGAGAAUCCCGUCUGGGAUGGGGUGUCCGCGCCCGUGUGAAGCUCCUUCGACGAGUCGAGUUGUUUGGGAAUGCAGCUCUAAAUGGGUGGUAAAUUUCAUCUAAAGCUAAAUACUGGCCGGAGACCGAUAGCGCACAAGUAGAGUGAUCGAAAGAUGAAAAGCACUUUGAAAAGAGAGUUAAAAAGCACGUGAAAUUGUUGAAAGGGAAGCGCUUGCGACCAGACUCGCCUCCAGGGUUCAGCCGGCAUUCGUGCCGGUGUACUUCCCUGGGGGCGGGCCAGCGUCGGUUUGGGCGGCCGGUCAAAGGCUCCCGGAAUGUAGUGCCCUCCGGGGCACCUUAUAGCCGGGAGUGCAAUGCGGCCAGCCUGGACCGAGGAACGCGCUACGGCACGGACGCUGGCAUAAUGGUCGUAAACGACCCGUCUUGAAACACGGACC